RNAcentral lists this long non-coding RNA (2797 nucleotides) under Homo sapiens (human). Its description in RNAcentral is "lncAB237.1". The record is from RNAcentral. Lineage: Eukaryota; Metazoa; Chordata; Mammalia; Primates; Hominidae.
ACGUGACGAGGAACUAGCCUUAGCGAGGCCAUGGGGGAAAAAGUCUAACUGGCGGAACUCCUGGGAACUGGGGCGAUGGGCUCUUAGUAUCGGAGGAUUGGAGCCAUCUGAUUUUUACCUGAAAUUCCUUAGUCUCUCCUGUGUUGGGGAAAUGAGACCGGGACUUGCUGUGUUGCCCAGGCUGGUCUUGAACUCCUGGUCUUAAGCAAUCAUACUGCUUUGGCCACCCAAAGCACUGGGAUUACAGGCGUGAACCACCACACCCAGCUCUUAAAACCACAGUAUUUCUAGCCCCGCAGCAGUUCCCGAGACCUUGUGCCUCCUUCCCCGACGCCGCCUGCUCACCGGUGCCCUCGGGCAGGCUCAGGAUGUCCUCGCCCUGCACCCAGCGGUAGCACGGGAAGGCCACCUCCGCGCAGGCUCCAGGGCCCUGCACCGUGAUGCGGUCGCAGAACCACGCGUCGUCCACCAGCCAGUGGUGCUUGCGCAGCCUCACGAACUGCAGGAGCCCCAAGUCCUCUGCAACGUCAUGAUCAAACUCCUCCUCCUGUGCAGGCCGGACCCAGGCCAGACUUAGUAGGAGGGACCCGACUGAGGCCGUUUCGAGGACAGAGCCGCGCUCCUGUGCAACCUCAGUUUCUCAGGGCCUCCAAAGACAGCAUCGCCUCGUUCCCGCCCCCGCACAACCUGCUCUUUGGGUCUCAGACGCCCGGAGUCGGGUGGAGGACGAGGGCCCGCAGCGCCUGGAGCUGAUGCUGGAGCAGCAUCGCCCACGUGGGUCCCAUUAACUGAGCUCUCCCCGCGCCGGUUCUUGGAGGAGCUUCACGUCUGACCUCUGGCCUCAUACUUACAUUGGCUCUGGGUCACUGGGAGAAGGAGCUGGGGGCUGCCGGGACCAGGGGCGGGAAAGGGAGAUGGGGUUGAGCCCAGCCCGGGAUCCCAGCUGCGGACCCUGUCCCUAAUCUUGCCCACCUCGUCCCAGCUUCGUGGAAGUCCCAGUCCGCGAGGUCGCGCUGUCACCUCGCCCCCAGCCUCCCGCCCUCCCGCCGCGAGCCCAGCUCGGCCCGGGCCUGGGCCCGGGGUCCCCGCUGCCCUAGCUCCCCUCGCUCCCCGCGCUGACCUCGCCCCGCGCGGGCCGCAGCUGCAGCUCCAGCUCCGCCUCCCCGCGCGUCCCGACCAGCCAAAGCUGCACGCGGUUGUACGACCCGGAGAAGAGCCAGGCCCCGGUGGCCACGCGGAUGCGGUAGCGGCCCAUGGCGCCCCCCAGCAGCUUAGGCGAGGGGAGCCGGGUCCUGUGCGAUUCCCGGGACCGCCCAGGGCUGCCGGCGCCUCGGGGCCACUUCCAACCUUUAAAGGACCGGUCUGCGGCCCCGCCCUCCUCGCAAGUUUUAGGCGCUCCCAAGUCCCCGCCCCAGACUAGCCCAAACCUGCGAGCAGAGCGGUAGAGCCGGCUGUGGGGACUGGCUGUGCCUCCUGGUCGGAGCGUAGCUGCAGGAUGAUAAAGGGGCCCGAGCCAGGGUGAGGCCAACGGGGUGGGUGCGGCGGGACCUUCCUGGACCUCCCGGGAAGGCGGGAUCGAGGUGGGCCUGAGCCCCCGGGUUGGAGCGAACAUAGAUGAGAACACUUCCCGAGGUCUCCAGGUCUUCUGGGGAGCCAGGAGGAAGUAGGGGAUGAGUCCAUCUUCCAAACGGAGGGGAAGGUCUCCGCUUUUCUGGGCUGGGACCCGGGGAAGGCAGUGGGCCGGCUUCUGGAAGGUCGGCCUGGGAGGCCGUGCUGGGGUCUGGGGAUGUCCCGCGGCUAGACCCGGCGCGGCCCAUGUGUCCUCCAGUACCUGAGCUCUGCCGCCCUUGAACGCUGUGCUUCCGUCAACGACCAGGGGUUCCCCAGGGUACCUAGAACCUGGAAAUGUAGCAGCUCAACACCCGCUCCCCACCCCGUUUCAAAUAUCUGGGCGCUGGGGUCCCAAUGUACACCAAAUAUCAUGGGCCAGACCUUUGAGAGAGGCCUGAGGCAGGGCAGUGAAAAACUCAUUUUGUCCAACCUCCGAAGCGGGUACAGACAAUGUUAGGGACCCAGGAACACCAGUCGGGGUGUUAGGGUGCGGGAUGGAAUUGCUUAGGGACCUGGCCUACGUGGCCAGUUCCCAAGAACUUUGUCUUUUCCAGGUGAGUGCAGCCCCUUCCGCUCCAGUAGGUUCCAGAUUAAUUUUUUAUCCCCAAGCUCUUUCCUGCUCCUUCAUGGGUCUCAGGUCUCCUGGAAAUCCAGGAACAGCAAUUAGCCCACUGCUAUUUAGGGCCUUUGUAAACAUUGAAGGAUGAUUCGGAGCUUAGGCUUUCUCUCCCGUGUCAGGAAUCAGUCAGAUGAAGCCUGCUGCACGCGUCCCUGUCUAGAUCUUGAUUCAAGUGAUUAUAUGCAUUUGGAUCUCCGUGGAUGCAUCUGGUGGCCUGGGCUAGGCCAGUGUAAGUUAAAUCUGCUUUCUUGAGCCAGUCCUCAGAAAUGACUUGGUGGCCUAGUUGUUGGUAGAGGUAAGUGAGUGGGAGUUUUAGCCCCGCCUUCCAGCCUCCAGAUCAGACUCUAUCUCAAAAAUAAAUAAAUAAAUAAAUAAAAAUAAAAAAAUAAAGUGUCUGUCCCUUACUGGAUUCAAUUCCCUUUCUUAUCUUCUAGGUCCACUCUGGCCUACAUCCUCUGCUCAGGACUGCAGGUCGGCCAUUUGCUGGUCCCCAGUUCUUCCAGUUUUCUGGGGUCACCCCAUUCUGUAAUAUCCAAAUAAAAUGGCUCAAAUUCCCAUCCUGCCUAA